CUGAGUCAAGGAGUCGCCAUGAUUCUCCCACUCCAGACAGACGCAGGUUAAGAUCCUCCCUGCCUUUCUUCGCAGGGCCCUCAGCGAUUCUCACCUCUCAAAUGGGCGACUGGCUCAAAGAGAAGGUUGUACACUAAGUCUCUGUACUAAACCAGCACACCUGUGACUGUGAUCUCCGGCCUAUGAACUGGACCUCAGUUUCAAUCCCCUUGCACCAAGAUCUUCCUUCUGCCUCCAAGUGUGGGCAAACAGAAAACCAUGCUCUCUAUUGGGGCUCCCGAAGGGAUGUGUGUUGCCUACAGAUAGUAUCAUAGUAGCACCCGCCACAAGGUAACUGGGGGUCCAGGGGCUCAGGAUUUUUGCAAGGUGAGUUGGACCAGCAGGUGAUGGGAACUUGGGAAGACUGUAAACAGGGCGGCAUGAAUGUGAAGCAUAUGGUGUUGAAGGUCUGCUAAGGGUCUGGACUACACGUGUAGGGGAAACCAGGGUAACGAGGCACAAUACUAACGAUCCCAAAGAGUGCAAGCGAGGCAAGGAGAUCUGUGUGGCCUUGCUGUCUCGCUGUUUGUAGGAGAUCACUGACUGACAGAGCCGCCCUAGGGUUGCUUCGUUCUCUAUGGCUCGACAGAGUUCCCCUUUGGUCUUAUGAUUCAUAUAACCUUGAUAAAGCAACGGUUAAGUGAACGGGCCUGAUGGGAGUAAAUAAAACUUUAUUAACAAAAACAAGAGCUUGGUGCCAGUCCCUAUACUGUGGGAAUGUGCUUUUUUCCUGAUGCGUUGUUUCCUAUUGAUUAAGUCCACACUCAGUGAAGUUACUGUCGAUGAGUGUCUGAUGGAGAUGCAAAUGCUUUUGUCUGCUAGAAAAACAAAACUCCAAGUGUUGUGGUCUUAGCUGUCCCGAAGGUUAUUAGCCAGUUCUGUAUCUAGCAAGAAAUCUUCCCCAGCUUUCUUACUACAGCGCUUAGGUGACACAAAGAGCUCUUUAGAUGCCCUCCGCGCCAGCUCUGCCAUCUGGCUGGUCCCUUCUUUAAUGAGUUAAAUAAAUCCUUAACACGUGACCACGUUUUAUUUGUCUGACUGUCAUUUCACCUACCUGUCUGGAAAUCACACUGGAAGCUGAUGACCAGGGAGAAGAGAUGGAGAGAUGAGGAUGUGAACUGAAGGGUGGCAGUGUCCAGGAGGGAGAAGAGAGCAGAGCAUGGUGCCAUGGAGACCAGGAAGUGACGUCACUCUUCACGAAGCACCGAUACCGCCAUAGACAAUCCCCUAUAUCCGAGAAAGUUCUACAGUUCUUUCAAUAAUCUGCCUUGUGGCGAAGGCUCUCUCAGGCAGGCACGAGCCCCCCCCCCCCCUCUGUCUAGAAGUCCUCAGACGCGACUUCGCUAGAGCAGUCACUGUUUUGUGUCAUGGUAGGCUCUCAGCAUCUAUUUGUUAGACGGAUAA
This is a long non-coding RNA of Alexandromys fortis (reed vole), 1443 nucleotides long. RefSeq lists it as uncharacterized. NCBI's taxonomy places the organism in Eukaryota, Metazoa, Chordata, Mammalia, Rodentia, Cricetidae. The transcript is spliced from 3 exons. The record is from RefSeq and is a predicted model, not a curated record.